AGCAGCUCCUAGCCCCAGCCUCCCUCCGCGCUGGAAAGAGAGGACCAAAAGCCAGAAGGACCCAGAUGCUCUUCCCUCUGCCCUGAGGGCGGAGAGGGAUACCCGGCCUGCAGGGUUAGGUGUCUUAGGUGGCCCCACGCCCUGGAGAAAGCAUCAGGUUCUUGCAGUACCUAACCGGGCCUGAGUACAACUGCAUGAGGAGGAGAGGACUUGCCUGUUUAGCCAAGCUCCAGCCUGAUAAUGUACCAUCAGGUCAUGGGGGCUGGUCCCAGGCGGGUACUGGGACUCAGAAGUGUCCAAAUCACUUUCUUGCUGGGUUGUAUCAGUUUAAGGUUAGACUGAUCAGCAAAGCAAUUUAUAAAACUGCGGGUGGGGACAGUGGUGCUGCUUCACCCCAGGGCUUGACAUAGUGGCUAGGAGAAAACAAGACUGAAAGAGGGGGAUUCCUCAGCCUCUGUCUGAAAUCAUGUAUCCUGGAGGUGCAGCAGGUUAAGUCUCUGUUAGUGGCUUAAAAGCAUAAUGGUAUUUAUGUUUCCCUUAUAAGGGAAACAGCAGAGAUGUUGACUUUACCUUGGAGGUUACCGAAUAAUGAAUAAAGAGUUCACUAUUGACUGGAAGAUACACAAGUCCAAGUGCAGAAGUACAAGGCAAACCAGGAGACCAAAACUGCAGCAGAUACAUAACUAAUCAGUUAACAGGAACUGGACCAACAAGCACACAGAAGCGACCAUAUUCCAAAAGGCACUGGAACUAGGAACAGUAUUCCAGUGGCAGUCACCCAAGUGCCAAAAAUAGAGGUAAAAUAACCUCUCUGCUCCUACUUGAGAUUCCCCUGUUCAUGCACCCCAGGAUUGCAUUAGCGCUUUUGGCUGGCAUCACACUGGGAGCUCAUGUUCAGAAGAUUAUCCACCACAACCCUCAAAUCUUUUUCAGAGUCACUGCCUGCUUCCCUGGAUAGAGUCCCCCAUCCUAUCAUUUUGAUAUUUAAUAAAUCCCUUACACCUUGCAAUUCAGAUCUCCCAAGAGGGUACCAACCAAAAAAAGAAGGAUGUACUGACAAGAUUUAUAAUGGCAUCUAUCUGGGCAUUUUAGAUCCUUUAAAAAAAGCCAACCAAUAACUAGUAUCUUCUCCAAAUCAAAAGACUUAACAGAACUUCUUUUCUAUGCUACUAAAUUGAUUGAUCCUUACUAGCAACCAGAGAUCUACAAAAUGGAUAAUUCUGGCACAGCCACAUGAAGCUUACCAAACCUGGACUCUAGAACACAUCUAGAAGGAAGAGGUUCCUAAGCUUUCCAACUAUGAUGCCCUGUCAUCCAUUCAGAAGUAUUUCACUCCAAGAACAGACAGCAGGAAUCAUCCAGCAUCUCUCUGCUACCGGGACAGGCCACAGGGAAGACCUGAUCUCUUGGAUAACAGAGAUCCAGACCUUUGAGGAUUUUUUAGACCAUAACCAACACCUUGAACUGCACCCAGAAAUAAACCAUUAAUCACAACAGGUUUGGUAACACCAGUAUUGCAUGCGCAUGACAACUUACUUCCCUCAAGAAAAUGUUCCAGAUGAUUUUAAGAGUAACCCCAAGUAGAGUGCAUUGCAGGUAACUGUGGUGUGGGUUAUGGUGGCAGGGUCCACAGUAAGAAGGAACAGUGGCAGCUGAUUGGGUCAGUCAUAGGUUUGGGGUGGGGGAGACGUGUGCUGCCUCUGGCAUCUAGGAAAACAGUAAGAGUGAUAGAUCCGAUAUAAACCUAAGAGUGGAAAUUAUUUUUGCAAAGGUCAGGACUGCAUCUUUAAUAAAAGACACGCUCACAGCCACCACCCCCUGCUUUGGAGGCAUCUCUUUGCUCAUCAGCAUAAUUUCCUUAGUGUCUGCUUGUUCUCCACUACUACUUAGAUUGUAAACUCUCUGAAGCAGGGACCAUCUCUUUGCUGUAUGUUUGUACAGUGCCUAACACAAUACUGCUGGGGCCUCUAACCUCUACCAUAGCACAAAUCAACAGUUAUACAUAAAUGGUUCAGUUCAUUUUAUAAAGUGGCUGAGUUAUUAAAAUAAUAAUAAAAUCAUUUCUCCCUGCCAGUUGUACCAAGCUACCUCUCCAAGUAAACACAAUUGUAAUUCCAUUUUAGUUCUGUUAGGAGUCUGGGUGUCUGGAACUGACUUGCUGAUUUUUUUUUUCUUUUCACUUACACUGGCUAAGUCUGACAGAUUCUUUUGCUCAGACUGCUAUGUAGUUAACUUAAAAAACCCAUCUAUAAUUGUGUUCUAUAGUGUAUAUUAACAGGAAUUUGUCUUUAGGAUUCUCAUUGGUAAUUAUUCUGUUUUUUUGGAUAUUAAACUCUCUUGGAGUGGACCUGUAAA
Molecule: long non-coding RNA, 2355 nt
Organism: Malaclemys terrapin pileata
Lineage: Eukaryota; Metazoa; Chordata; Testudines; Emydidae
Exons: 5
Source: RefSeq, a predicted model, not a curated record